RNAcentral lists this long non-coding RNA (6327 nucleotides) under Homo sapiens (human). Its description in RNAcentral is "HSALNT0340548". Lineage: Eukaryota; Metazoa; Chordata; Mammalia; Primates; Hominidae. The record is from RNAcentral.
AGACAGAGCCUCCCUUUCUCACCCAGGCUAGAGUGCAGUGGUAUAUGAUCUUGGCUCACUGCAACCUCCUUCUCCUAGAUUCAAGCGAUUCUCUUGCCUCAGCCUCCUGAGUAGCUGAGAUUACAGGCAUGCACCACCACACCCAGCUAAUUUUUGUAUUUUUAGUAGAGGUGGGGUUUCACCAUGUUGGCCAGGCUGAUUUCGAACUCCUGACUUCAGGUGAUCCACCCUUCUUGGCCUCCCAAAGUGCUGGGAUUACAGGCGUGAGCCACUGAGCCCAGCUACAGAACAAAGAUACAAUUUUUUGUCAAGGAUAUGGGAAUCAUUAAAGCAUUCCUGUUUCUCUCUUUUAUUUGGCAAACCUCUGUUUUAUUAUCCCAAAACUUACUAAAUAAUAAUUUUUCCUUUUUUGGUCAUUAAAUAAGUUCAUACACCACAUAUAUUAAAUAAACGGUGUUAGAGUUUGUCCUUCCUUUUAUGUUGUUAACUGAAAUGGGUUUCUUUCCCAGAUGUUUUAAAAGAGCAUUUGUUGAGGAAUAAUGUAGUUUUUAAAGACUCCACAGUUUCUUUACCAAUGCUGUAAAAGUUAUGUUUAGAAAGAAUUGAGUAUUUUUCUCUAUAGUAUUUCCAUGAACUUUCUUCUAAUAUUCAACAUGAGAAAUCUGAAAAUGCUUACAAGAAAAACAUAUAGAAAGCAAAGAAUUCUUAAGGCCAAGAAAGUGGAACAUUAAGCAUUUUGAUCUGUUAGGCAUCGUACAAAGGAUGAAGAGACCCACCCCAAGGGGACUUAACAGUUGGCAAGGACAACCAUAGUAUCAUAAAUAAAUUAAGCUAGAAAAAAUACUAAUGCAUACUGUACCUCUAUUAUUUUAAGAGUGUAGAGCUUUCUUACACAAUUCUUAGUGAUAAAUUCUCUUUGCUACCAUUGACCAUAUAGUUUAAAAUUUUCAGUUAUUUUUUUCAGCCAACUUUGGAUGUGUUCUGAAGUUUUUUUUUUUAAAUUGACACAUAUUAAUUGUACAUAUUUAUGGGGUACAAUGUGAUAUUUUGAUACAUGUGUACAAUGUGUAAUGAUCAAGCCAUGGUAAUUAGCAUAUCCAUCAUCUAAAACACAUCAUUUCUUUUUGUUGGGAACAUUCAGUAUCCUCUUUUUUGCUGUUUGAAACUAUAUAUUAUGUUACCUAUAAUCAUCCUACUGUGCUUUAGAACACUAGAACACUAGAAUCUUCUGUUCUACUUUUUACUUAUAUGAGAUCAACUUUUUUUAGCUUCUGCACAUGAGUGAAGAUGUGGUGGUGAACUUUCUGUCCUAGCCUAUUGCACUUAAUGUCUUCUAGUUCCAUCUGUGUUGCUGUGAAUGACAGGAUUUCAUUCUUUUUUUGUGGCUGAAUAGUAUUCUAUUGCGUAUAUAUACCACAUUUUCUUUACCCAUUAUUCUGUUGUUGGACACUAGGUUGAUUCCAUAUCUUGGCUAUUGUGAAUAGUGCUGCAGUAAACCUUAUUUCUUUUUAUUGUUUGUAAGUUUUUCACCCAGUAGGAAAUCUGUAAGGCUUAGGUCUUCUAUUUAAAAUGUCACCUAUUUAAUCAUGUUUAAUUAGGUUGAUGGAGGGGCAACUUUCCUAUUUUUAAAAUUUUGAAAACAAAGUGGAUACUAAUCGUACUUUCUUAAAAUGGUAUGCUGCUAACAUUUUAAAUUUAAUGUUUUAAGUUGUAUUUCUUUUACGAGAUUUCUUUAUUAGUAGCUACUUUGUUUAUGAGGGAGCAGGGAUAGGAUUCCCAUAAGUGAGAAUAAGAAGCAGUUAUCACCGAUGGGUAGUAAUUUUUAGGGGUCUGUUAAGGGUCUCUUAAUAUUAAAGGAAUCAGAAUAAUACCAUAAUUCUUUUAUUUAAAUAGUACAAGUGAGCCAUUGAUUAACAUCUGGCUUAGAUGUUAAUCUAGUGUUAGAAUUAGAUGUUAGAUGUUAGAAUUCAGUAUAGGAUCCCUUGAUAAGAUUUUUUAAUGUAAGUUCUCUUGAACCAGUAGCACCUUUUUUCCCUUCAAAGUGUAAUCUUGACAUCUCUCUACAAUUCAGAGUAGUGAAUGGUCCUCAGGUGUUUAGCAGGUAAUUUGUUACAUGUAAAAAUUAAAGUUUGUAAUUAAUAUACCUCUAUGCUACAAAUUAGGGUGGAUUUACACUUACUCUUUUUUUAUUUUAUUAUUAUUAUACUUUAAGUUUUAGGGUACAUGUGCACAAUGUGCAGGUUUGUUACAUAUGUAUACAUGUGCCAUGUUGGUGUGCUGCACCCAUUAACUCGUCAUUUAGCAUUAGGUAUAUCUCCUAAUGCUAUCCCUCCCCCCUGCCCCCACCCCACAACAGUCCCUGGUGUGUGAUGUUCCCCUUCCUGUGUGAUGUUCCCCUUCCUGUGUCCAUGUGUUCUCAUUGUUCAAUUCCCACCUAUGAGUGAGAACACACGAUGUUUGGUUUUUUGUUCUUGGGAUAGUUUGCUGAGAAUGAUGGUUUCCAGUUUCAUCCAUGUCCCUACAAAGGACAUGAAGUCUUCAUUUUUUAUGGCUGCAUAGUAUUCCAUGGUGUAUAUGUGCCACAUUUUCUUAAUCCAGUCUAUCGUUGUUGGACAUUUGGGUUGGUUCCAAGUCUUUGCUAUUGCUUGAAAUAGUUUUGACAUGUUUCCUUGAGCAGAGGAGAAAGUGAUGGUGUUACAGUGAGUGCACUUAUUUAUUCUAUAGCCUGACAGAGUAUUUGUGAUUGUAAAUGUCAUCUGUUUGUGUUGGGGAAGAACAAAAAAUGAAGGGCUACUCCUGUGUUCAGGGUUUCUAAGAAAAACACAAAGUGUAAUAUCUGUUGAAAACAAACUUGGAUGAUGACUUUUAACCUUUAAAAUUACCUUCAGCCAAGCACGUCUAUCAACUUUACCAGCUGUUUUGAAAAUACCUAAUACCUGUGCCAUGGUUCAGCUGUGAAGAGGACAGAGUUGGUUUGAAUAAGAGUAGUUAUAGGAAGUUUGUCCUUAAAAGUCCUGAAGAUAAGUCUUGAUGCUGAGUCAUACAUAUUUACUCCCUCUGUGACUAACUGAAUAAACUCAAUUCAUCAAGGAAAUCGUGUCCUUGACUCAGGUCCAUUUGUCACAAAUCACACCCUCCAACUUUAGGAUUACAUCAGACUAAAAUUAUGGACAAAGCAAGUUGCUAUGUUAAUUCUUUUCUAACACAAGGAGUGGUUUAUCAUCACAUUGCCCACAGUAAUAUCAUUGCAGUUUUAUAUGUUUAGGGUGAUUUCUCCAACUCUUCCUCAAAAUUAUAGAGUUUUAUAAAGCCAUUUUCAUUUUUGGAGCAAGAAAGAAGUAAGCUUUGUUGUGUAUUAGAUGCUUACCACUUGCCAAACGUUGUAUUAUAUGGAACAUGAGACAAGUAACACACAGUUUCUACUUGCAGGCAAACAGGACAAUAUAACACAUGAAACAGAAUGAAAGUUUACUCAGAGUUGAAUUUUAAGAAUAGUUUUGAUUUUUAUCAAAGACCAUCUUAGUUAUUUAUAUGUGUUGAAGGUUUAUAAUCUGUAAAUCUGAAGUGUUGGAGCUAUUGGGUGGGGGAGAAAGAAGACUUAAAAAUUCUACUUAGGAAGCUAUUUGUAAACUCCCUUUUUUGUUUUUAACUUUUAGGUUGAGGGGUACAUGUGCAGGUUUGUUAUAUAGGUAGAUUUUGUGUCACAGGGGUUGGAUGUACAGAUUAUUUUGCCACCUACGUAAUAAGCAUAGAACCUGAUAGGUAGUUUUUCUGUCCUUACCUUCCUCCCUCCCUCCCUCCACCUUUAAGUAGGUCCUGGUGUCUGUUGUGCCUUUCUUUGUGUCUAUACAUAUCCAAUGUUUAGCUCCUACUUAGAAGAGAGAACCUGUGGUAUUUGGUUUCCUGUUCCUGUGUUAAUUCACUUAGGAUAAUGGCCUCCAGGUCCAUCUGUGUUGCUGCAAAGGACAUGAUCUUGUUCUUUUUUAUGGCUACAUAUUAUUCCAUGGUGUAUAUAUACCACAUUUUCUUUAUCCAUUCCACCAUUGGUGGGCAUUUAGGUUGAUUCCAUGUCUUUGCUAUUGUGAAUAGUGCAGUGAUGAACAUACGUGUGCAUGUGUCUUUAUGGAAGAGCAAUUUUUAUACCUUUGGGUAUAUACGCAAUAAUGAGAUUGCUGGGUCAAAUGGUAAUUCUGCUUUGCGUUCUUUGAGAAAUUGCCAAACUGCUUUCCACAAUGGCUGAACUAAUUUACAUUCCUACUAGCAGUAUGUAAGUGUUCCCUUUUCUCCGCAACCUUGCCAGCAUCUGUUAUUUUUUGACUUUUUAAUAAUAGCCAUUUUCACUGCUGUGAGAUGGUAUCUCAUUGUGGUUUUCAUUUGCAUUUAUCUCAUGAUUAGUGAUGUGGAACUUUUUUUCAUAUGCUUCUUGGCCACUUACAUGUCUUCUUUUGAAAAGUGUCUGUUCAUGUCCUUUGCCCACUUUUUAAUGGGGUUGUUUAUUGAUUUAAGUUGCUUAUAGAUUCUGGAUAUUAGACCGUUGUUGGAUGCAUAAUUUGCACAUAUUUUCUUCUGUAGGUUGUCUGUUUACUCUGUUGAUAGUUUCUUUGCUGCACAGAAGCUCUGAAGCUUAAUUAGAUCUCACUUGUCAAUUUUUGCUUUUGUUACAAUUGCCUUUGGCAUCUUCAUGAAAUCUUUGCCGUGUCCUAUGUCCAGAAUGUAUUUCCUAGGUUAUCUUCCAGAGUUUUUUUAGUUUUAGGUUUUACAUCUAAGUCUUUAGUCCAUCUUGAGUUGAUUUUUGUAUAUGGUGUAAGGAAGGAGUCCAGUUUCAAUCUUCUGUAUAUGGCUAGCCCAUUAUUUCAGCACCAUUAAUUGAACAGGGAGUCCUUUCCCCAUUCUUUGUUUUUGUUAACUUUAUCAAAGAUUAGAUGGUUGUAGGUGUGCGGCAUUAUUUCUGGGUUCCCUGUUCUGUUCCAUUGGUAUAUGUGUCUGUUUCCUUCUUUCUGUCUCUCUCUCUUUUUUUUUUUUUUUUGGUUUGAGAUGGAGCCUCGCUCUGUUGUCAGGCUGGAGUGCAGUGGCGUGAUCUUGGCUCACUGCAACCUCUGCCUCCUGGGUUCAAGUGAUUCUCCUGCCUCAGCUUCCUGAGUAGCUGGGACUACAGGUGUGCACCACCAUGCCCAGCUAAUUUUUGUAUUUUUAGUAGAGAUGGGGUUUCACCAUGUUGGCCAGGAUGGUCUCCAUCUCUUGAACUCGUGAUCUGCCCGCCUUGGCCUCCCAAAGUGUUGGGAUUACAGGCGUGAGCCACUGUGCCUGGCCUGUUGAGGGUUUUUAAUAUGAAGGGAUGUUGAAUUUUAUUGAAAGCCUUUGAGUUUGGGGAUGAUCAUGUGGUUUUUGUUUUUAUUUCUGUUUAUGUGAUGAAUCACAUUUAUUGAUUUGCAUAUAUUGAACCAACCUUGCAUCCCAGGAAUAAAGCCUACUGAUGGUGGUGGGUUAGCUUUGGAUGUGCUGCUAGAUUCGAUUCGCUAGUAUUUUAUUGAGGAUUUUUGCAUCUGUGUUCAUCAGGGAUCUUGGCCUGCAGUUUUCUUACUGUGUCUCUGCCAGAUUUUGGUAUCAGAAUGAUGCUGGACUCAAAUAAUGAGUUAGGGAGGAGUCCAUCCUUCAAUUUUUUCAAACAAUUUCGGUAGUAUUGUUCCAUACUAGCUCUUCUUUGUAUGGGGUUGUUUUUGCAUGUUGAAUUGUUUCAAUUUCUUACAGAUUCUGGUUAUUGGACCUUUGUUGGAUGCAUAGUGUAUUAGUCUGUUCUCAUGCUGCUAUGAAGAAAUACCCAAAACUGGGUAAUUUAUAAAGAAAAGAGGUUUCAUUUACUCACAGUUCCACGUGGCUUGGGAGGCCUCAGGAAACUUAGAAUCAUGGCAGAAGGCACUUCUUCACAGGGCAGCAGGAGAGAGAAUGAGUGCAAGCAGUGGAAAUGGCAGACGCUUAUAAAACCACCAGAUCUCAUGAGACUCACUAUCACGAGAACAGCAUGGGGGAAACUGCCCUGUGAUCUGAUUACCUCCACCUGGUCUUGCCCUUGACACAUGUGUAUUACAGUCCAAGAUGAGGUUUUGGGUGGAGACACAGCCAAACCAUAUCACGUAGUUUGCAAAUAUUUUUUCUCGUUGUAGAAAAAUAUUUAUCUCAUGGCCUGCAGCCAUGAGCAUGGAGUGUUUUUCCAUUUGUUUGUGUCAUCUCUGAUUUCUUUGAGCAGUAUGUUUUGUAGUUCUCCUUGUAGAGACUUUAACCUCCUUCAUUAGAUAUAUUCCUAGAUACCUUCUUUAUUUUUUCGUGGCC